Molecule: small RNA, 573 nt
Filed under: Pan troglodytes (chimpanzee)
Lineage: Eukaryota; Metazoa; Chordata; Mammalia; Primates; Hominidae
Description: processed transcript
Source: RNAcentral
CCUCCGGCGUGAAGAUUGGAUUUGGGUUGGGACUGGGAAGUCUCGCUAAAGGGUGAAUCAUGUUUAAGAAGGUCAACAAGAUUGAGCACAAGAGGAAUAAGACAGAAAAACCAAAAAGCUUAAUCCAUGGAUUCCACGCAUGUUCAACCACAAAUGCUUUGUCACCUUCCUUACUGGCUGCUAUAGUUGCCUCUGGAAAUUCAGACAAUGGGAAAAAACUAAAGUUGGAUUUUGUUGCUGCACUUGGGUACAGACUGAUAAGGAGCUGGACCACAUUUUCUCAGAUGUGGGGAGCAUAGGCUGACCGCUGGCCCCAUGAGGGCUCUUUACGGUCUCCAGGACUGGGGAUGCUAGGGCUCCAUUUCUUCCAUAAAAAGCAAUUAUUUUGCCCGUGCCUGGUAAUUUCAUUUGUCUUGUCUCUGAUGUUGCUGUUCCUGUGGAUAGAAACAUCCAGUGAAUACUUUAACUUUGACUGUUACUUGGAUUUUUGUUGCUUUGGGAAAGGAUUGAACUAUACCUGCACUUGUGUCAUAAGAUCCUGAUUCUGCUAGUGAUUCUUCUGUGUGUCAUUUU